Molecule: long non-coding RNA, 1115 nt
Filed under: Vigna radiata
Lineage: Eukaryota; Viridiplantae; Streptophyta; Magnoliopsida; Fabales; Fabaceae
Description: long non-coding RNA (VRAD_LNC014142)
Source: RNAcentral
UCUUUUAUGCUCAUUAAAUUUUGCAUGAGGUGCGACACUCCAUCAAAAUUUUACUCUUGGUUGUCUUAACUCAUUGGUGGUGGAAAUCCAUUCAUUCCUCCUUCCAUUUACUUGUUUUUGAUGUUUGAAGCUUGAGCUUUUAAGCUUGUCUUUGCUUUUCCAUGGUGGUUAAUGGGUUUGAGUGACUUUAGAUUUUUUUUUUCCUAUCCCUUGCUGCUGUUCCUCACUUUUUUCUUUGCAUUUUAUUUGGUUGGUUGAUGAAAAUAGAAUUCUAUGUGAGUUUUGGGUUGAAUAGAGCUUAACUUGAUGUGUGGGUGUUGUGGGUUUGGCUCUUUCUCUUCAUAUUUCGGUUUUGAUGUUUGAAACUAGUUUGGAACCAGAAUUUGAUGAUGUUAUUGGGGUUGGACAGUGGUUGAGUUGAAUGGUAUAAUGUUAUUUUCGUUUUUGCACAAGAGCUUGAAGAAAUGGAAGAUUAGGUGGAGUUGAAGUAGUAGUAGUGUGGGUUUAUUGUCUUGAAUGGAGUUGAACUUUGAAAUGGGGUCUCUUGGGUGUGUGUUUUCGGUGUGAGGAAGAAGAAAGAGCUGGAGGAGUGUCUUGGAGAGUGAGAAAACCGAAAUGGACAAGGAAAGGAAGAGAGAGGAGUGCAUUUAAGUUUUUACCACUUUUGGGCAAACAAAAAAGAUGCUUAUUUUCUUUCUAGGAAGAUUUCCAUUUUGAGCUUUGGCUUUGUUUGAAUUCCAGCUCUCAAGUGUCUAAGGUAAACAAUGUAACCUCAAUGCACUCAAGAAAGCAAGCAACAAACAGACUUGGCAAGCCUCUAAUAUCAACACUCAAAACAUCUAUGCAUGUUCAAAUCAAAAGGUCUUUUAUGGAUGUAAUGGAGCCAAUGACAAGGGAGGAUAACAUUUGGAUGAGAAGCUAUAAACCAAAAGAAAUAGAGGAGCAAUGGGGAAAAAAUGUAAACACAUUCAAACACAUCCAAAACCUCUAAUUCAAUCCUCUUCUUGACUCCAUUAGUCACAAUUUUUCUCAUUUUUCUGUAUUUUUUUUUUCUUUUUUUUUCAUCUUGUCUGUUUUCUUUUCGAUCUAUGUAGGACACAACUAUAAGAGUCAAG